CCUAGCUAGCUGCGGAUGAGUUCUCUGCUGUGCUGUGAUUAUCAAUAUCAUCAGGAUCAUACGAGUUCGAUAGUAAGAGGUUUGUCAUGCUGCACACUCCCCAAAUGUUUGAUACACUGUGAAGAUACAUUGACACUCUGUCACCUGAGGCGAGAGGGCUGUUUUCUGAUGAAGAUUUUGCUUCUGUGAAGAAUGGAUGAAUCUGUUGUCGGAACUGGAAUUCACUUUUCAACGGGUGACGAUAGUUAAGGACUGUUCAACGGAUUGAUAUGCAUCAACCAGUAGCUAGUUCCUCAAUUGGCCCCUGUGUUGCAG
Long non-coding RNA from Asterias rubens (European starfish), 315 nucleotides. RefSeq lists it as uncharacterized. The transcript has 3 exons. The record is from RefSeq and is a predicted model, not a curated record. NCBI's taxonomy places the organism in Eukaryota, Metazoa, Echinodermata, Asteroidea, Forcipulatida, Asteriidae.